CUCCAGUAUUUCCUUCGGUUGCCUGCCUGAAAAAGAGGACCUGCUGCCACAUUUGCCAGGCAAGAAGAGGAAAGAGCAAUUCCUCUUCUUGGCAGAGCACACUGUGAAGCCUGUGCUACCACCAAUGAUAAAUGGUUUGAUCAAGGAGUGCCGCCUUCUUCCGUUUGCCUCAUCAGAAAUCCAGCCCAGCAUGCUGAAGUAGAAG
Pelobates cultripes (western spadefoot toad) is the source of this 205-nucleotide non-coding RNA. Lineage: Eukaryota; Metazoa; Chordata; Amphibia; Anura; Pelobatidae. The record is from the annotation of a GenBank genome assembly.